GUAGAUAUAGUUUAAACAAAACGCUAAACUGUGAAUUUAGAUAUAGGAACUUGAAACCCCUUAUCUACC
This 69-nucleotide transfer RNA is filed under the name Lepilemur dorsalis (gray-backed sportive lemur). RNAcentral describes it as "tRNA-His". It matches the Rfam family "tRNA". Rfam says of the family: Transfer RNA (tRNA) molecules are approximately 80 nucleotides in length. Their secondary structure includes four short double-helical elements and three loops (D, anti-codon, and T loops). Further hydrogen bonds mediate the characteristic L-shaped molecular structure. tRNAs have two regions of fundamental functional importance: the anti-codon, which is responsible for specific mRNA codon recognition, and the 3' end, to which the tRNAs corresponding amino acid is attached (by aminoacyl-tRNA synthetases). tRNAs cope with the degeneracy of the genetic code in two manners: having more than one tRNA (with a specific anti-codon) for a particular amino acid; and 'wobble' base-pairing, i.e. permitting non-standard base-pairing at the 3rd anti-codon position. The record is from RNAcentral. Lineage: Eukaryota; Metazoa; Chordata; Mammalia; Primates; Lepilemuridae.